CAAGGAGGGUAUUAUCCCAGAGCUUUCUCCCAAGAUACUCAAACCUGGUGGUUUGCAGGCAUGAGGUGGCCACCACCAAACUUUAGUCAGUCAAUAGCCAGCAGGCUCUGCAUGGGCAUCAGCCCUUGGACACAAAAGUGACUAAAAGGAGCUGCUAAAUGCCCCAGUAGGGCUUCUGAGAAGAAAGGGCAGCAGAGUACCAGGAGGAGAAGCCUAAAGAACAAAAUGCAUUUGCUGAUCCUGGGGGAGCUUGCAGUUUCUAUGCCCUUGAUACUGUUACCAAGCUGAGCAAGAGGGAGAGGAAGCAGUGCUCAGCGAGUAAGUCCUUGACCAGGCCUUCUGUAGCCUGAGAUUUGCCACAAGCUGUUUCAGCCCCAGCUGUUGCAAGCAGGAUGAGCAAGCCAGAAUAUUCACCUGGCCAUCCACUCCAGUAGUGACAAGAAUUCCCGUCUUCUUCCCUUUCACUCUGCACUGGGAAGUAUGAGAAGAUGAUCAGAAGAGGAGCAGAAAGUACUCCAUUAUCCAGCACCAACCAUCUGAAGACUUUGGUGUCAGGCCCCUCUUCUGUAAGGCUGCUGCUGUUGGCUGGGGUUCCAUUCCAGGCCCUAUUUGCCUGGUCCUUCCCGCACUUGAAGGUGUCACGCAUGGAGGCUGCAGAACAGCACAGAUGGCUGCCUGCUCCUUCCUCUGGGAUCUCUGUCCACACAGAGCACUGACCUGAUGCCAGUGGAAACACUACUGUGUAAGGUUGUACAGAUCUAUGGAAAAGCCAAGCUGCCCUGACAGGGUAGCACAACCUCUCACUGCCUCCCUUGGCUGCCAGUAGGAGCUCCCCUUUCCCUCUGUGGAUCUCAGGCAAAAGAAGAUAAUGCUCUUUCUGGUGACCAAUCACUCAGUUGGAUAACUUGAGUUGACAUAUGGAUACCAUGCCAGAAAAGGACUCUAACUUCAGAAAUCAAAACCAACUGGGACUAUUAGGUGAUGUAACAGCAGUAACUGAGUCUCCUUAAUGACCAAGUAGGGACUGGGAGGUGGCAAGAUAUAUUGCAUCCAAGCUGAGAACUUAAGAAAACUACCCAUAAUGACAUCACAAUUAUAUGUGUUGCUUCAAUUAUUAGUUUACUCAAUCACCAGUUCCCAGAAGAUAUUAUUGAAAGGGUUACAUUAUUGAAAUGCUAAACAAAGGUGGUACUUGGUACCAUAUGUACUUGAGAAAACAAAAUCUGACUGGUAGGAAAUUUUUAUGCGUGCCAUUCCUCUUUGAACUUGACAUUAGGUCUGUUUGUUACACAAGAAUAUAUCUGAGUCCUGUCUGAGAUAAAGGAUACUACUCUGAAGAUGCAAAGAAUAUGUGGACCUUAAGCUGGCCUUACAAUACUCUUUUCUUGUUUUAACGUAUUGCAAGUCAAAUUUAGCCUGACAUUUUAUCAGAUUGUUUAAUUUCAGGAAUAUGCAUCCAAUCAUUCUGAUGGCUCUUUCUUUAAAAUUCUCCAUGAUUUUUUCUUUUUUUUUUAAAUUAAGUUGGCAGAACAGAGAUCCAACCCUUAUUUUCAGUAAAAUCAAAGCAAUUGCUGAUUAGAAAAAAGGGAAGAAACAUUCAAACCUCAUGAUGAUAGAUGAUAUUACCAACCUUGAGCUUCAUAUAGUUACCCCCUAAGUUCCUUAGCAAUGGAUAGAUUGAAGCAUCCUUUAAAUCCCGUUCCCUUUUCUAGUUUGAGUAAUUGUUACAAUGAGAUUGCCUAGCGUAUUUGUCUCCAGAAGUCACAUGUACCAUAUCUUCAGGCAUCAAAACCUUGGUUUGCAUAUGCAAAAUGUCCCAAAUUUGAUAUAGUUCAGAAUCACAUACAAAAGUUAUGAGGCCCUAGUGUAAAACUUCUGGAAUGGUGGAAUGAAAAUCUUUAUAAAUCAGCUCCUCAUAAAGCAAUUAAAUUUCUGGCAACAUUGUCAAAAUCAAAAUUUUCACAACUCAGGAAAUUAAAAACAAAAUCAAUAGACACUGUCUCAGCAGGCAUCCAGAUGCUGGACUUAGUAUACAAGACUUUACAUUUGACUCUUAUAAAUAUGUUUGAAGAGCUAAGAAAACAUUGCCUAAAAUAUGACAAUGAUGUCUCACCAAAAAGAGAAUCCUGGUUAAGAGACAGAAAUUUGUAAAAGAACCAAAUAUGCAUUCUUGAAAAAUGAGGCAUUACCAAUCUUAUAAAAAUAAAAUGAAUUAUAACAAAAUAAUAUGACACAUCAAAAUCAUCACUAUCCAAAGACAAAUACAAAGAGAGGAUUUUGAAAGCAGCAAAAGUGGAGACUCAUCACAGACAAGAGAUCCUUAAUAUGAUUAGCAGGUAUUUAUAACCAGAAACCAUGAAGGCUGUAAGGAAGUGGGAAAACAUAUUUAAAAUGAAGAAAAAUUUUAAAAAUCAGGAAUUCUCUACUCAGCUAUUAUCCUUGGAAAAUGAAACAAAAUUAUCCUUGGAAAAUGAAACAGAAAUUAAGACAUUCCUGCCACUAACAGAUAUUCCCUACAGGAAAUACUAGUGGGAUCUCAUCAAGCCAACAUGAAAGUAUGCCUGAAUCCAAAUGAUAAAAUUAAGCAUAUCAGUGUGGCAGGCUGAAUAAUAGCCCCUAAAGAUAUCAAUUUCUUAACCCCUAGAACCUGUAAAUGUCGCUCUAUUUGACAAAAGGACUUUGCAAUGUGUUUAAAUAAAGAAUCUUGAGAUGGAAAAAGUAUACUAGAUUACUAGGUAGGCUCUAAUUAUAAUCACAAGUAUUUUUAUAAGAGGCUCUAAUUAUAAUCACAAGUAUUUUAUAAGGAAGACUCGACUACAUAGGCUGAGAAGGCAAUGCGAUGAUGGAAAACAGAUUGGAAUGAUGCGCUACGAAGACAAAGGAAGAGGCCACAAGCCAAGAAAUAGGGUGGGCCACUAGAAGCUGAAAAACUCAAGGAAAAAGAUUCUCACCUCAGAGCCACUAGAAAGAACUGGGCCUGCCAAGAAAUGUACUUUGGCCAGGGAAACUGACUUCAAGCUUCUGAUCUCCAGAAAUGGGAUAGAACAAAUGUAUGUUGUUUUAGGCCACCAACUUUGUGGCAAUUUCUUGCAGGUCAAUAUAGAUAAAUAUAAAGGAGAGUAAGUAUAAAUAUAUAUUUGUAACUCUUCUGUCCGAUUUAAAAGGUAGCUGUAUAAAGCAAUAACUAUAAAAACUCUGUUGGGUUCUACUGUAUAAAAUUGCAAUAUGUAUUACAGAAACAGCACUAAGGAAAUUGAAAGGAAUGGGGCUAUAUGGAAAAAAUUCUGUAUACUACUGAAAUUAAAUUAGUAAUAAAACUAGAUUUUUUUUUGUUAAGAUGCUAAUUGUAAUACCCAAGGCAACGACUAGGAAAAUAACUAAAAUAUACAGAAUUAAAGAAACAACAACAUAAUUAAAAUAGUAAACUAGAACAUACCUAGUUGACAUUCAAAAAUUCAGUAGUGUAGAAAUGGAGAAACAAAAAAGGCAGGACAUAUAGAAAACAAUCGGAAAAUAGAAGACAUGAGUCCUAAUUUAUCAGUAAUUAUAUUAAAUUAUCUCAUUGUUUCUUUUAUUCAUAUUUUUAAUUAUUAUCUUAGUGGCUGCCUUGAAUAUUAUAAUUAGUAUCUAUAUAUCACCACAUGAAGUAAAUCUAAAUUAAUGUUGACUGUACAAAAUACUCUUACUGUCCUAUCAGGUUUAAAAUACACAUAAAAAUAAAAUAUGUCACAAGAACACCACAGGUGAUGGUGAAAUGAAAUAAAAAUAUUUUAGUAUCUCAGUAUUGCCUGAGGUAAUAAAAGAAUAAAGUUUAGGUUUCCACUUGGGGAAACAUAAUGAUAUAAUUUCUGGGGUAUUUUUGAAAGAAAUUUUUUUAAAGUAUAAAUAAUCUGCAAAUAGAAAAGAUAAUGGAUUAGCAAAAAAAAAAUACUUCAUUAAUCUAAUAUGAGACAAGAAAGGAGACAAAAAGGGGAAUAAUGGGACAAAUAAAAAGUAAUAAAUGGUAGAUAUGUAACCAAAUAGAUCGAUGAUUACAUAACAUGUAUACGAACUAUUUUACUAAAAAGAAAAUCAUUAGACUACAUAAAGUAUAAAACUCAACAAUAUGAUGCUUACAAGAGACAUCAUUAAUUAAAAGGCAGAAAUGUUUUGAAAUAAAAUCUAUGGAAAAAGAACAAAACAUACCAUUCAAACACUGACCAAAAGACAAAACCGAUUUCAAGGUAAGAAAUAUUGCUAUAGAUUGAGAGCAAUGUCAUAACAAUAAAAUGAACAAGUCACCAAAAUAAUAUAUCAAUUCUAAAUUGCCACAUACCUCAUAAUAUAUCAAUUCUAAUAUAUCUAAUAUAUUGCCACAAGCCUCAUAACAAGCUUAUAAAUAUUUAAGCAAAAGUUACAACAUUAAAAAGUGACUUUAACAUAUUUCUCUUGGUAAACAUAAAAGCAUUUGCCUCAGUGUAUCAAAGCAACUAUACCAAGAACCAGCGUGAUUGAAAUAUGACAUCAAAAUUAGAGAUAAGGAGCUGAUAAAACUUGCUUAGAUUAUAUGAAAAUAUUGUGAAUACCUUUUAGGUUUAAGUAUAUUUUGCUUUGUUUUAAAGCCUGGAAUAGAGUUCAAGACACAGAGUCACUUAUAUUAGAUGCAGUGAUUUUACAAUCUCCCUGCGGGAGCUUAAUGCCUUGAUCAGCUACUUAUAAACAUGAGUAGAAUAAUCCAGGAAAUUAGUCGUGCUGUUAUUUUCUUAUUUGUAUUACUUUAUAUGAAGACUCAACACAGUACCUGGCAAAUAAAAAUUAUUAAAUAAAUGUUAUUUGCCUAUUUUUAUCUCAUUUACCCUUCACAAUCACACUAAGAUUUCUUAUGUUAAUUUUAAAAAUAAAGAAACUGAGUCACAUGGCAGAAAAUUAGCAAAAGUCACAU
Molecule: long non-coding RNA, 4921 nt
Filed under: Homo sapiens (human)
Lineage: Eukaryota; Metazoa; Chordata; Mammalia; Primates; Hominidae
Description: HSALNT0359857
Source: RNAcentral